This 874-nucleotide ribosomal RNA is filed under the name Pantoea sp. SXAU-SK-26. RNAcentral describes it as "bacterial SSU rRNA". It matches the Rfam family "Bacterial small subunit ribosomal RNA", at positions 39 to 905 of the family's 1533-position model. The record is from RNAcentral. Lineage: Bacteria; Pseudomonadati; Pseudomonadota; Gammaproteobacteria; Enterobacterales; Erwiniaceae.
GCAUGGCGCGGCUACCAUGCAGUCGGACGGUAGCACAGGGGAGCUUGCUCCCCGGGUGACGAGUGGCGGACGGGUGAGUAAUGUCUGGGAAACUGCCCGGUGGAGGGGGAUAACUACUGGAAACGGUAGCUAAUACCGCAUAACGUCUUCGGACCAAAGUGGGGGAUCUUCGGACCUCACGCCACCGGAUGUGCCCAAAUGGGAUUAGCUAGUAGGUGGGGUAACGGCUCACCUAGGCGACGAUCCCUAGCUGGUCUGAGAGGAUGACCAGCCACACUGGAACUGAGACACGGUCCAUACUCCUACGGGAGGCAGCAAUGGGGAAUAUUGCACAAUGGGCGCAAGCCUGAUGCACCCAUGCCGCGUGUAUGAAGAAGGCCUUCGGGUUGUAAAGUACUUUCAGCGGGGAGGAAGGCGGUGAGGUUAAUAACCUCGCCCAUUGACGUUACCCGCAGAAGAAGCACCGGCUAACUCCGUGCCAGCAGCCGCGGUAAUACGGAGGGUGCAAGCGUUAAUCGGAAUUACUGGGCGUAAAGCGCACGCAUGCGGUCUGUUAAGUCAGAUGUGAAAUCCCCGGGCUUAACCUGGGAACUGCAUUUGAAACUGGCAGGCUUGAGUCUCGUAGAGGGGGGUAGAAUUCCAGGUGUAGCGGUGAAAUGCGUAGAGAUCUGGAGGAAUACCGGUGGCGAAUGCGGCCCCCUGGACUAACACUGACGCUCAAGUGCGAAAGCGUGGGGAGCAAACAGGAUUACAUACCCUGGUAGUCCACGCCGUAGACGAUGUCGACUUGGAGGCUGUUCCCCUGAGGAGUGGCUUCCGGAGCUAACGCGUUAAGUCGACCGCCUGGGGAGUACGGCCGCAAGGUAAAGUAAGA